AUACGGAGGAUGCGAGCGUUAUCCGGAUUCAUUGGGUAUAAAGGGUGCGUAGGCGGCCCCCCAAGUCGGCGGUGAAAUGUCCGGGCCCAACCCGGAGGGUGCCGUUGAUACUGGGGGGCUGGAGUACGGACGCCGGCGGAGGAAUGAGUGGUGUAGCGGUGAAAUGCAUAGAGAUCACAAAGAACACCGAUUGCGAAGGCAUCUAACGAAGGGGCUAUUGACGCUGAGGCACGAAAGCGUGGGGAUCAAACAGGAUUAGAUACCCUGGUAGUCCACGCAGUAAACGAUGAUGACUAACCGUCGGUCAAGACUGAUCGGUGGCCAAGCGAAAGCGAUAAGUCAUCCACCUGGGGAGUACGACCGCAAGGUUGAAACUCAAAUGAAUUGACGGGG
RNAcentral lists this ribosomal RNA (393 nucleotides) under uncultured bacterium. RNAcentral describes it as "partial 16S ribosomal RNA". It matches the Rfam family "Bacterial small subunit ribosomal RNA", at positions 523 to 918 of the family's 1533-position model. The record is from RNAcentral.